UAAGGGAUAUUGGUCAAUGGGCGGAAGCCUGAACCAGCCAUGCCGCGUGAGGGAAUGAGGCCCUACGGGUCGUGAACCUCUUUUAUUCGGGGACAAGGACGCGGUCGAGAACCGAGUUUGAGGGUACCGAAGGAAUAAGCGUCGGCUAACUCCGUGCCAGCAGCCGCGGUAAU
This 173-nucleotide ribosomal RNA is filed under the name uncultured rumen bacterium. RNAcentral describes it as "partial 16S ribosomal RNA". It matches the Rfam family "Bacterial small subunit ribosomal RNA", at positions 355 to 524 of the family's 1533-position model. The record is from RNAcentral.